RNAcentral lists this ribosomal RNA (856 nucleotides) under uncultured cyanobacterium. RNAcentral's name for it is "bacterial SSU rRNA". It matches the Rfam family "Bacterial small subunit ribosomal RNA", at positions 1 to 904 of the family's 1533-position model. Lineage: Bacteria; Bacillati; Cyanobacteriota. The record is from RNAcentral.
GCUUAGAGUUUGAUCCUGGCUCAGGAUGAACGCUGGCGGCGUGCUUAACACAUGCAAGUCGAACGGACCCUUCGGGGUUAGUGGCGGACGGGUGAGUAACGCGUGAGAAUCUGCCCUUAGGAGGGGGACAACAGUUGGAAACGACUGCUAAUACCCCAUAUGGCGAGAGCUGAAACUAAUUGGCCUAAGGAUGAGCUCGCGACUGAUUAGCUAGUUGGUGGGGUAAGAGCCUACCAAGGCGACGAUCAGUAGCUGGUCUGAGAGGAUGAUCAGCCACACUGGGACUGAGACACGGCCCAGACUCCUACGGGAGGCAGCAGUGGGGAAUUUUCCGCAAUGGGCGAAAGCCUGACGGAGCAACGCCGCGUGCGGGAGGACGGCCCGUGGGUUGUAAACCGCUUUUCUCAGGGAAGAACACAAUGACGGUACCUGAGGAAUCAGCAUCGGCUAACUCCGUGCCAGCAGCCGCGGUAAUACGGGGGAUGCAAGCGUUAUCCGGAAUUAUUGGGCGUAAAGCGUCCGUAGGCGGUUGAGCAAGUCUGCUGUUAAAUCGAGGAGCUUAACUCCGAACAUGCAGUGGAAACUGUUCGACUAGAGUGCGGUAGGGGUUGAGGGAAUUCCCAGUGUAGCGGUGAAAUGCGUAGAUAUUGGGAAGAACACCAGUGGCGAAGGCGCUCAACUGGGCCGCAACUGACGCUGAUGGACGAAAGCUAGGGGAGCGAAAGGGAUUAGAUACCCCUGUAGUCCUAGCCGUAAACGAUGGACACUAGGUGUUGCGCGUAUCGACCCGUGCAGUACCGUAGCCAACGCGUUAAGUGUCCCGCCUGGGGAGUACGCACGCAAGUGUGAAACUCAA